Molecule: ribosomal RNA, 254 nt
Filed under: uncultured bacterium
Lineage: Bacteria
Description: partial 16S ribosomal RNA
Rfam family: Bacterial small subunit ribosomal RNA
Source: RNAcentral
CACGUAGGGCGCGAGCGUUGUCCGGAAUUAUUGGGCGUAAAGAGCUCGUAGGCGGUCUGUCGCGUCGGGAGUGAAAGCCCGCUGCUUAACGGCGGGUUGGCUUCCGGUACGGGCAUCGCUGGAGUGCGGCAGGGGAGACUGGAAUUCCUGGUGUAGCGGUGGAAUGCGCAGAUAUCAGGAGGAACACCGGUGGCGAAGGCGGGUCUCUGGGCCGUUACUGACGCUGAGGAGCGAAAGCGUGGGGAGCGAACAGG